RNAcentral lists this non-coding RNA (26 nucleotides) under Mus musculus (house mouse). Lineage: Eukaryota; Metazoa; Chordata; Mammalia; Rodentia; Muridae. The record is from RNAcentral.
UCUGACAGUGUGCUUGGUUAUCUAAG